This 408-nucleotide ribosomal RNA is filed under the name uncultured bacterium. RNAcentral's name for it is "partial 16S ribosomal RNA". It matches the Rfam family "Bacterial small subunit ribosomal RNA", at positions 28 to 526 of the family's 1533-position model. The record is from RNAcentral.
GACGAACGCUGGCGGCGUGCUUAACACAUGCAAGUCGAACGAAGUGGCGAACGGGUGAGUAACGCGUAACCAACCUGCCCUUCAGAGGGGGACACCAGUUGGAAACGACUGCUAAUACCGCAUACUGAAGUAGGGGAUUGCGUCUGAUUAGCUCGUUGGAGGGGUAACGGCCCACCAAGGCGAUGAUCAGUAGCCGGGCUGAGAGGAGGAACGGGCACAUUGGGAAUGAGACACGGCCCAGACUGCUACGGGAGGCAGCAGUGGGGAAUCUGCCGCAAUGGACGAAAGUCGGACGGAGCAACGCCGCGUGAGUGAUGACGGCCUUCGGGGUGUAAAGCGCUGUUAAUCGGGACGCGGUACCGGAAUAGAAAGCCACGGCUAACUACGUGCCAGCAGCCGCGGUAAUAC